Molecule: ribosomal RNA, 520 nt
Filed under: uncultured bacterium
Lineage: Bacteria
Description: partial 16S ribosomal RNA
Rfam family: Bacterial small subunit ribosomal RNA
Source: RNAcentral
GACGAACGCUGGCGGCGUGCCUAACACAUGCAAGUCGAACGGACUACUUUGCUUCGGUAAGGUGGUUAGUGGCGAACGGGUGAGUAACGCGUAGACAACCUACCUCUUAGAUGGGGACAACAUCGCGAAAGCGGUGCUAAUACCGAAUGAAGUGACUUUCCUGCAUGGGAGAGAUACUAAAGGUGGCCUCUAUUUAUAAGCUACCACUGAGAGAUGGGUCUGCGUCUGAUUAGCUAGUUGGCGGGGUAACGGCCCACCAAGGCGACGAUCAGUAGCCGGUCUGAGAGGAUGAACGGCCACAUUGGGACUGAGACACGGCUCAAACUCCCACGGGAGGCAGCAGUGGGGAAUCUUCCGCAAUGGACGAAAGUCUGACGGAGCAACGCCGCGUGAGUGAAGAAGGUUUUCGGAUCGUAAAGCUCUGUUGUUUGAGACGAAUGUGCCUGUUUCGAGUAGGGAUAGGUAAUGACGGUAUUAAACGAGAAAGCCACGGCUAACUACGUGCCAGCCGCCGCAGUAA